RNAcentral lists this ribosomal RNA (468 nucleotides) under uncultured bacterium. RNAcentral's name for it is "partial 16S ribosomal RNA". It matches the Rfam family "Bacterial small subunit ribosomal RNA", at positions 28 to 507 of the family's 1533-position model. The record is from RNAcentral.
GACGAACGCUGGCGGCGUGCUUAACACAUGCAAGUCGAACGGAAAGGCCCUGCUUUUGUGGGGUGCUCGAGUGGCGAACGGGUGAGUAACACGUGAGUAACCUGCCCUUGACUUUGGGGUAACUUCAGGACACUGGGGCUAAUACCGGAUAGGAGCUCCUGCUGCAUGGUGGUGGUAGGAAAGUUUCGGCGGUUGGGGAUGGACUCGCGGCUUAUAAGCUUGUUGGGGGGGGAGUGGCUUACCAAGGCUUUGACGGGUGGCCGGCCUGGGGGGGGGACCGGCCAAAUUGGGCCUGGGAAAGGGCCAGGACUCCAAGGGGGGGCAGCAGUGGGGAAUUUGGAACAUUGGGCGGAAGCUGGUGCAGGCACCGCGGGUGGGGGGAGGCCGGCUUCGGGGUGGAAACCCGCUUCGCCCGGGGACGAAGCGUGUGUGACGGUAACUGGUAAAGAAGCACCGGCUAACUACGUG